AGCGAACGCUGGCGGCAGGCCUAACACAUGCAAGUCGAACGAACUCUUCGGAGUUAGUGGCGGACGGGUGAGUAACACGUGAGAACGUGCCUUUAGGUUCGGAAUAACUCAGGGAAACUUGUGCUAAUACCGAAUGUGCCCUUCGGGGGAAAGAUUUAUCGCCUUUAGAGCGGCCCGCGUCUGAUUAGCUAGUUGGUGAGGUAAAGGCUCACCAAGGCGACGAUCAGUAGCUGGUCUGAGAGGAUGAUCAGCCACAUUGGGACUGAGACACGGCCCAAACUCCUACGGGAGGCAGCAGUGGGGAAUCUUGCGCAAUGGGCGAAAGCCUGACGCAGCCAUGCCGCGUGAAUGAUGAAGGUCUUAGGAUUGUAAAAUUCUUUCACCGGGGACGAUAAUGACGGUACCCGGAGAAGAAGCCCCGGCUAACUUCGUG
This 433-nucleotide ribosomal RNA is filed under the name uncultured bacterium. RNAcentral describes it as "partial 16S ribosomal RNA". It matches the Rfam family "Bacterial small subunit ribosomal RNA", at positions 29 to 507 of the family's 1533-position model. The record is from RNAcentral.